AAAGUUCCCUUCGGGGAGCGAGUAGAGUGGCGCACGGGUGAGUAACACGUAGGUAAUCUACCUUUGGAUGGGGAAUAACAACCGGAAACGGUUGCUAAUACCGCAUAAUGCAGCGGCACCUAAUGGUGACAGUUGUUAAAGCGGGGGAUCGAAAGACCUCGCGUCUAAAGAGGAGCCUGCGGCGGAUUAGCUAGUUGGUAAGGUAAUGGCUUACCAAGGCGAUGAUCCGUAACCGGCCUGAGAGGGCGGUCGGUCACACUGACACUGACAUACGGGUCAGACUCCUACGGGAGGCAGCAGUCGGGAAUUUUGGGCAAUGGGCGAAAGCCUGACCCAGCAACGCCGCGUGAAGGAUGAAAUCCCUCGGGAUGUAAACUUCGCAAGAACGGGAAGAAUAAGUUGGUGUGAAUAUCACCAGCGAUGACGGUACCGUUUGUAAGCUCCGGCUAACUCCGUGCCAGCAGCCGCGGUAAUACGGGGGGAGCAAGCGUUGUUCGGAUUUACUGGGCGUAAAGGGCGCGUAGGCGGCCACUGCAAGUCGGUUGUGAAAUCUCCGGGCUUAACCCGGAAAGGUCAAUCGAUACUGCAGGGCUAGAGUGCAGAAGGGGCAACUGGAAUUCUCGGUGUAGCGGUGAAAUGCGUAGAUAUCGAGAGGAACACCUGCGGCGAAGGCGGGUUGCUGGGCUGACACUGACGCUGAAGCGCGAAAGCUAGGGGAGCGAACGGGAUUAGAUACCCCGGUAGUCCUAGCCUUAAACGAUGAAUGCUUGGUGUCUGGGGUUUUAUAGUCCCCGGGUGCCGUCGCUAACGCUUUAAGCAUU
Molecule: ribosomal RNA, 821 nt
Filed under: uncultured Actinomycetes bacterium
Lineage: Bacteria; Bacillati; Actinomycetota; Actinomycetes
Description: bacterial SSU rRNA
Rfam family: Bacterial small subunit ribosomal RNA
Source: RNAcentral